UAGGGAACCUUCCACAAUGGACGAAAGUCUGAUGGAGCAACGCCGCGUGAGUGAAGAAGGGUUUCGGCUCGUAAAACUCUGUUGUUAAAGAAGAACAUAUCUGAGAGUAACUGUUCAGGUAUUGACGGUAUUUAACCAGAAAGCCACGGCUAACUACGUGCCCG
Molecule: ribosomal RNA, 164 nt
Filed under: uncultured bacterium
Lineage: Bacteria
Description: partial 16S ribosomal RNA
Rfam family: Bacterial small subunit ribosomal RNA
Source: RNAcentral